GAUGAACGCUGGCGGCGUGCCUAACACAUGCAAGUCGAGCGGAGUCAUAAGCAGAUUCUUCGGAUGAUAUUUAUGACUUAGCGGCGGAUGGGUGAGUAACACGUGGGUAAUCUGCCCUGCACAGGGGGAUAACAGCUGGAAACGGCUGUUAAUACCGCAUAUGCACACGUUAUCGCAUGAUAGAGUGUGGAAAGAUUUAUCGGUGCAGGAUGAGCCCGCGUCGGAUUAACUGGUUGGCAGGGUAACGGCCUACCAAGGCGACGAUCGGUAGCCGGCCUGAGAGGGUGGACGGCCACAUUGGGACUGAGACACGGCCCAGACUCC
RNAcentral lists this ribosomal RNA (324 nucleotides) under uncultured Butyrivibrio sp. RNAcentral's name for it is "bacterial SSU rRNA". It matches the Rfam family "Bacterial small subunit ribosomal RNA", at positions 28 to 339 of the family's 1533-position model. Lineage: Bacteria; Bacillati; Bacillota; Clostridia; Lachnospirales; Lachnospiraceae. The record is from RNAcentral.